RNAcentral lists this ribosomal RNA (254 nucleotides) under uncultured bacterium. RNAcentral describes it as "partial 16S ribosomal RNA". It matches the Rfam family "Bacterial small subunit ribosomal RNA", at positions 524 to 776 of the family's 1533-position model. The record is from RNAcentral.
UACGAAGGGGGCGAGCGUUGUUCGGAAUUACUGGGCGUAAAGGGCGCGUAGGCGGCGAUCCUAGUCAGAUGUGAAAGUCCUGGGCUUAACCUGGGGACUGCAUUUGAUACUGGAUUGCUUGAAUUCGGGAGAGGAUAGCGGAAUUCCCAGUGUAGAGGUGAAAUUCGUAGAUAUUGGGAAGAACACCGGUGGCGAAGGCGGCUAUCUGGACCGACAUUGACGCUGAGGCGCGAAAGCGGUGGGGAGCAAACAGG